CCUACGGGAGGCAGCAGUGAGGAAUAUUGGUCAAUGGGCGCAAGUCUGAACCAGCCAAGCCGCGUGAAGGAUGACGGCCUUCUGGUUUGUAAACUCCUUUUAUAAAGGAGUAAACUGAGGUUCGUGUCUCGCGUUGCAAGUACUGUAUGUAUAAGGAUCGGCUCACUCCGUGCCAUCAGCCGCGGUAAUACGUAGGAUCCGAGCGUUAUCCGGAUUGAUUGGGUUUAAAGGGAACGUAGGCGGUGUGUUAAGUUAGUUGUGAAAUUUCGGGGCUCAACCCGAGAAUGGCAUUUGAUACUGGGAGACUAGAGUGCAGUAGAGGUAGGCGGAAUGCAUGGUGUAGCGGUGAAAUGCUUAGAGAUCAUGAAGAACACCAAUGGCGAAGGCAGCUUACUGAACUAUAACUGACGUUGAGGCGCGAAAGCGUGGGUAGCAAACAGGAUUAGAUACCCGAGUAGUC
Molecule: ribosomal RNA, 460 nt
Filed under: uncultured bacterium
Lineage: Bacteria
Description: partial 16S ribosomal RNA
Rfam family: Bacterial small subunit ribosomal RNA
Source: RNAcentral